CUUGAAGCUGGGUCCGGGCAAGCUCUGUGGUUUGCCACUGUGUCCCUCACACCCUGAUGACCUUUUAAGCUUUUCAAGGCCUCCCAUAAGAGAAAACUAAGGAGGAGAGAGAAUUCAAACGGGCAGCAAGUGGCCUGGGAGGGGUGGGGAAGAGAGCAGGGCCAGACAGACCUUGGCCUCUGCGGUCUGUGCGGGCCAUUUAUCCUCACCUUCUCCCCCUCUCCCCCCUCCCAUCUCAGCAGUGGGGGAAAAGGGCAGACAAGCCAGAAGAAAAUAUUUUUCUCUGUAAACCAGACAGGACCUAGGGUGGGCAUCAGCUGCUGGAUUUCUCCCCAGCCCACUCUGGACCACAAACAGCCUACGCACCAAGCCGGCACCAGCCUACCCACCCUGUUGGGACCGGAACAAGCCAGGCCAGAGCCUCGGAUGGGACCCGGGGCCUGGGUCCCACCUUCCCAAGGCACCUAUUUCCUGCGUUUCCUCCCCAACCCCCCGUUCCCGGGUGAAGGCCUCCGCCAGGUCCGUCUCCCAGGGGGCCCAGCUCAGGGACAUCGUGACACUGCCCCGGUGAUGCUCAAGAACCCCGGCGCUUGCAAAGCACCCGCAGUCGCGCGCUCACCUCUCUGCAGAUCCUCCUGACAUCGGCAAAGCUAUCUGGGGAAUUCUGGCAGGCGGAACUCCCUGUUUC
This 688-nucleotide long non-coding RNA is filed under the name Cervus hanglu yarkandensis (Yarkand deer). Its description in RNAcentral is "lncRNA (ENSCHYG00000006494.1)". Lineage: Eukaryota; Metazoa; Chordata; Mammalia; Artiodactyla; Cervidae. The record is from RNAcentral.